Molecule: ribosomal RNA, 465 nt
Filed under: uncultured bacterium
Lineage: Bacteria
Description: partial 16S ribosomal RNA
Rfam family: Bacterial small subunit ribosomal RNA
Source: RNAcentral
CCUACGGGAGGCAGUAGUAGGGAAUCUUCGACAAUGGGCGAAAGCCUGAUGGAGCAACGCCGCGUGGGUGAAGAAGGUCUUCGGAUCGUAAAACCCUGUUGUUAGAGAAGAAAGUGCGUGAGCGUAUCUGUUCACGUUUCGACGGUAUCUAACCAGAACGCCACGGCUAACUACGUGCCCGCAGCCGCGGUAAUACGUAGGUGGCAAGCGUUGUCCGGUUUUAUUGGGCGUAAAGGGAGCGCAGGCGGUCUGUUAAGUCUGAUGUGAAAGCCUUCGGCUUAACCGGAGUAGUGCAUUGGAAACUGGGAGACUUGAGUGAAGAAGAGGAGGGUGGAAUGCGAGGUGUAGCGGUGAAAUGCGUAGAUAUAGGGAAGAACACCAGUGGCGAAGGCGGCUCUCUGGUCUGUAACUGACGCUGAGGUUCGAAAGCGUGGGUAGCAAACAGGAUUAGAUACCCGGGUAGUC